GACUAACGCUGGCGGUACGCUUAACACAUGCAAGUCGAACGGGUAGUAAUACCAGUGGCAAACGGGUGAGUAAUGCAUAGGAAUCUGCCCUUUAGUGGGGGAUAGCUCGGAGAAAUUCGAAUUAAUCCCGCAUAAUGUCGAGAGAUGAAAGCAGCAAUGCGCUAAGGGAUGAGCCUGUGUCCGAUUAGCUAGUUGGUGGGGUAAAGGCCUACCAAGGCAACGAUCGGUAGCUGGUCUGAGAGGAUGAUCAGCAACCGUGGAACUGAGACACGGUCCACACUCCUCCGGGAGGCAGCAGUGAGGAAUUUUCCGCAAUGGGCGAAAGCCUGACGGAGCGAUACCGCGUGUAGGAAGAAGGCCUUCGGGUUGUAAACUACUGUCGAUGGGGAAGAAAAAAAUGACGGUACCCAUAAAGGAAGCACCGGCUAACUCUGUGCCAGCAGCCGCCGUAA
RNAcentral lists this ribosomal RNA (452 nucleotides) under uncultured bacterium. Its description in RNAcentral is "partial 16S ribosomal RNA". It matches the Rfam family "Bacterial small subunit ribosomal RNA", at positions 28 to 523 of the family's 1533-position model. The record is from RNAcentral.